UUAAAAUAGCAUAAACCAUUGAAUAAAUAUUAUAAGUUAACUGCCAAUCCCAUUUUUUAUUUUAAAAAUAGUUUGAAGACUCUGAAACAGGAUUUCCCAAAUAAUCUUUCUUGUGCUAUAAUAGGAUUGGUAUAAAAAUGAAUAUAAAGACUGGGGCCCUAACUGUUCAAUGCAUUCAGUUGCCUUUUGGAGAUUUAUUUCCUGUAAUUAGGAACAUCUAUAGAAAAUCAAGAGGAAGGUUUGUUUUGUUUUGUUUUUUGCAGUUCUUUGUUGUUAAUUCUCUGCAUUUUAAAAUUCUUUUUUGUUCAUUGAUGCUAUUAAUUUCCCUGAGCUGGUUGUCUAAUCUUUCAUAAAUGAAAUUCUGGAUAUACAUGUAUAUAUACAUAUAUGUCUCUCUGUGUCUCUCUCUAUAUAUAUAUACAUGCUUAUAUAUGUAUGUAUAUAUGUACAUAUAUACAUAUAUGUGUAUAUAUAUGUAUAAAGAGAAUUAUGUAAAAGUAGUGUUUUCCCCAGCAUAAUUAGAGAAAUUGCAUAAAUCCAAAUGACUUUGCUUCAGGAGAAAAUUAUUGCAUGGAAGCUUAAUGGUUCAAGUACUAGGUUCUUGGUACUCAAGAAGAGCUGGUGGUGAACUGGACGAGCAAAGGGUGAAGGUGAAGAUCAUUCAAGGUUCCAGAGCUGGCCAAGACUGUUGGGGUGGUGUAACUGUUCCUGGAGGGCGGGGUUCCUGUGCAUUCCUACCUCGCUGGAUCACCUGCGCUCAACUCUACUCCAGCUUACUUACAGACGGACUGGACCCUUCACCAAGAAAACGAGCCCAGCCAUCUCACCUGGCAGCAGGACGCUGCGAGGCAUGGACCGAAAAUCACUGGCGUAAAAGUUCCUGGCGCAAAGUGUGGCCCCUACUCGCACAAUCGAGCCUCUCCGCUGUCUUUUGCUGAAUGCGGGUCCGGUUUAUCCUUUCUUUCUUGUCUGUGGCCUUGCUCCGUGGUCCUUCCAAGUUGGAGGAAAAGUCAUGCCGCGUCAACAGCAAGCGGUGAGAACUGUUUUUGCGAUGUUCUGAGUGCUCCUUGAGGUUCGGUUACAGGGCCAAAUUGAAUCUUGAUUUCGGCUUAGGUUUGAUUUUCAGUUUUUCACAUGGAACGAGCUUGCAAUGUUCAUAAGGGGCAAGUUUCUUGGUUCUGUGCGGUCGACGCUUCCAGUGCCCUUAAUUCUAUUUCUUUCAUCUUUGAAAUCGAGAGUACUUUUACAAUGCAAAAUACCUUUCCCG
Long non-coding RNA from Phascolarctos cinereus (koala), 1267 nucleotides. The record is from Ensembl. NCBI's taxonomy places the organism in Eukaryota, Metazoa, Chordata, Mammalia, Diprotodontia, Phascolarctidae.